This 1404-nucleotide ribosomal RNA is filed under the name Staphylococcus aureus 1110803248. RNAcentral's name for it is "bacterial LSU rRNA". It matches the Rfam family "Bacterial large subunit ribosomal RNA", at positions 1519 to 2925 of the family's 2925-position model. Lineage: Bacteria; Bacillati; Bacillota; Bacilli; Caryophanales; Staphylococcaceae. The record is from RNAcentral.
GUAAGGCUGAGUAUUAGGCAAAUCCGGUACUCGUUAAGGCUGAGCUGUGAUGGGGAGAAGACAUUGUGUCUUCGAGUCGUUGAUUUCACACUGCCGAGAAAAGCCUCUAGAUAGAAAAUAGGUGCCCGUACCGCAAACCGACACAGGUAGUCAAGAUGAGAAUUCUAAGGUGAGCGAGCGAACUCUCGUUAAGGAACUCGGCAAAAUGACCCCGUAACUUCGGGAGAAGGGGUGCUCUUUAGGGUUAACGCCCAGAAGAGCCGCAGUGAAUAGGCCCAAGCGACUGUUUAUCAAAAACACAGGUCUCUGCUAAACCGUAAGGUGAUGUAUAGGGGCUGACGCCUGCCCGGUGCUGGAAGGUUAAGAGGAGUGGUUAGCUUCUGCGAAGCUACGAAUCGAAGCCCCAGUAAACGGCGGCCGUAACUAUAACGGUCCUAAGGUAGCGAAAUUCCUUGUCGGGUAAGUUCCGACCCGCACGAAAGGCGUAACGAUUUGGGCACUGUCUCAACGAGAGACUCGGUGAAAUCAUAGUACCUGUGAAGAUGCAGGUUACCCGCGACAGGACGGAAAGACCCCGUGGAGCUUUACUGUAGCCUGAUAUUGAAAUUCGGCACAGCUUGUACAGGAUAGGUAGGAGCCUUUGAAACGUGAGCGCUAGCUUACGUGGAGGCGCUGGUGGGAUACUACCCUAGCUGUGUUGGCUUUCUAACCCGCACCACUUAUCGUGGUGGGAGACAGUGUCAGGCGGGCAGUUUGACUGGGGCGGUCGCCUCCUAAAAGGUAACGGAGGCGCUCAAAGGUUCCCUCAGAAUGGUUGGAAAUCAUUCAUAGAGUGUAAAGGCAUAAGGGAGCUUGACUGCGAGACCUACAAGUCGAGCAGGGUCGAAAGACGGACUUAGUGAUCCGGUGGUUCCGCAUGGAAGGGCCAUCGCUCAACGGAUAAAAGCUACCCCGGGGAUAACAGGCUUAUCUCCCCCAAGAGUUCACAUCGACGGGGAGGUUUGGCACCUCGAUGUCGGCUCAUCGCAUCCUGGGGCUGUAGUCGGUCCCAAGGGUUGGGCUGUUCGCCCAUUAAAGCGGUACGCGAGCUGGGUUCAGAACGUCGUGAGACAGUUCGGUCCCUAUCCGUCGUGGGCGUAGGAAAUUUGAGAGGAGCUGUCCUUAGUACGAGAGGACCGGGAUGGACAUACCUCUGGUGUACCAGUUGUCGUGCCAACGGCAUAGCUGGGUAGCUAUGUGUGGACGGGAUAAGUGCUGAAAGCAUCUAAGCAUGAAGCCCCCCUCAAGAUGAGAUUUCCCAACUUCGGUUAUAAGAUCCCUCAAAGAUGAUGAGGUUAAUAGGUUCGAUGUGGAAGCAUGGUGACAUGUGGAGCUGACGAAUACUAAUCGAUCGAAGACUUAAUC